AUUGAACGCUGGCGGCAUGCUUUACACAUGCAAGUCGAACGGCAGCGCGGGCUUCGGCCUGGCGGCGAGUGGCGAACGGGUGAGUAAUACAUCGGAACGUGCCCAGCAGUGGGGGAUAGCUCGGCGAAAGCCGGAUUAAUACCGCAUACGACCUGAGGGUGAAAGCGGGGGAUCUUCGGACCUCGCGCUAUUGGAGCGGCCGAUGGCAGAUUAGCUAGUUGGUGGGGUAAAGGCCUACCAAGGCGACGAUCUGUAGCUGGUCUGAGAGGACGACCAGCCACACUGGGACUGAGACACGGCCCAGACUCCUACGGGAGGCAGCAGUGGGGAAUUUUGGACAAAGGGCGAAAGCCUGAUCCAGCAAUGCCGCGUGUGUGAUGAAGGCCUUCGGGUUGUAAAGCACUUUUGGCGGGAACGAAAAGGACUGUGCCAAUACCACGGUUGGAUGACGGUACCCGCAGAAUAAGCACCGGCUAACUACGUG
This 484-nucleotide ribosomal RNA is filed under the name uncultured bacterium. RNAcentral describes it as "partial 16S ribosomal RNA". It matches the Rfam family "Bacterial small subunit ribosomal RNA", at positions 29 to 507 of the family's 1533-position model. The record is from RNAcentral.